UUUAUAGAGAGUUUGAUCCUGGCUCAGGACGAACGCUGGCGGCGUGCUUAACACAUGCAAGUCGAACGGAGCGCCCUUGACUGAGGUUUCGGCCGAAUGAUAGGAAUGCUUAGUGGCGGACUGGUGAGUAACGCGUGAGGAACCUGCCUUCCAGAGGGGGACAACAGUUGGAAACGACUGCUAAUACCGCAUGACACAUUCGGGCGGCAUCGCCUGGAUGUCAAAGAUUUUAUCGCUGGAAGAUGGCCUCGCGUCUGAUUAGAUAGUAGGCGGGGUAACGGCCCACCUAGUCGACGAUCAGUAGCCGGACUGAGAGGUUGACCGGCCACAUUGGGACUGAGAUACGGCCCAGACUCCUACGGGAGGCAGCAGUGGGGAAUAUUGGGCAAUGGGCGCAAGCCUGACCCAGCAACGCCGCGUGAAGGAAGAAGGCUUUCGGGUUGUAAACUUCUUUUGUCAGGGAACAGUAGAAGAGGGUACCUGACGAAUAAGCCACGGCUAACUACGUGCCAGCAGCCGCGGUAAUACGUAGGUGGCAAGCGUUGUCGGGAUUUACUGGGUGUAAAGGGCGUGCAGCCGGGCUGGUAAGUCAGAUGUGAAAUCCGUGGGCUUAACCCACGAACUGCAUUUGAAACUGCUGGUCUUGAGUACCGGAGAGGUUAUCGGAAUUCCUUGUGUAGCGGUGAAAUGCGUAGAUAUAAGGAAGAACACCAGUGGCGAAGGCGGAUAACUGGACGGCAACUGACGGUGAGGCGCGAAAGCGUGGGGAGCAAACAGGAUUAGAU
Molecule: ribosomal RNA, 785 nt
Filed under: Candidatus Oscillibacter excrementavium
Lineage: Bacteria; Bacillati; Bacillota; Clostridia; Eubacteriales; Oscillospiraceae
Description: bacterial SSU rRNA
Rfam family: Bacterial small subunit ribosomal RNA
Source: RNAcentral